Long non-coding RNA from Panicum virgatum (switchgrass), 549 nucleotides. RefSeq lists it as uncharacterized. The record is from RefSeq and is a predicted model, not a curated record. The transcript is spliced from 2 exons. NCBI's taxonomy places the organism in Eukaryota, Viridiplantae, Streptophyta, Magnoliopsida, Poales, Poaceae.
AGUCGUCGCGGCGGGACGGCACGGGCGCCGCGAGUGUCACAGCCGCCGACGCUGACCGGCUCUUGCGCACGCUCGUAGCCCCCUUGCCUUGCCGCCAGCGGAGCGGACAGGUAGACCUUGUGCAGGUGUGCUAUGAGGGACAAGGCAGUACAACCUGGGUAUGCUAUCUGAAUAGCAAAUGUCGAUGUGGUGCCAGGACGUACUGCUGGACUAGAGGCAUCGAAACUAUCAGGGCUUGGCUUCGUGACUGAAUAUGAGUGCAUUCUGCUUCUUUGUUAUGAUUCUCUUUAGAAGCAUGGGUUCCAUUUUCUUAGCAUGUGAAUUAGACUCUGUUUAAUGGGAUUGCUUCAAAUGUGCUCAAUGGGCCUGCAUUUACAUACUUCAGUAGUGAGUAGUGACUGACCAAAUGCCAAUUCGGUUUUAUUUGGAUGGUGAACAUAAUCAAACUACACUAGAUUGCAGGUUACUGUAUCUGCAUUUGCUUCAUUUCACUCCUGAAUACUUGUUUCAAAAACUUCUGAUGUGUAAAUACAUCCUGCCUGUUUUCAA